This 253-nucleotide ribosomal RNA is filed under the name uncultured bacterium. RNAcentral's name for it is "partial 16S ribosomal RNA". It matches the Rfam family "Bacterial small subunit ribosomal RNA", at positions 524 to 776 of the family's 1533-position model. The record is from RNAcentral.
UACGGGGGGGGCAAGCGUUGUUCGGAAUUACUGGGCGUAAAGGGCUCGUAGGUGGCCAACUAAGUCAUACGUGAAAUCCCUCGGCUUAACCGGGGAACUGCGCCUGAUACUGGUUGGCUUGAGUUUGGGAGAGGGACGCGGAAUUCCAGGUGUAGCGGUGAAAUGCGUAGAUAUCUGGAGGAACACCGGUGGCGAAGGCGGCAUCCUGGACCAACACUGACACUGAGGAGCGAAAGCCAGGGGAGCAAACGGG